AAGUUGCUAGAACACUUAUUUCAUCAGUAAAUACCGUCCGUUAAAUUAGAUGCCAGUAAAAACAGUUGUAAUAUAAGUAAGAUUGGAUUGGUUUUGCAUGUCACAUAGUACCUAGGGACUCAUCUUUGACAAUUGUGAGGUUUUGCUGCUCUGGUGACAUAAAGUAAAAUUCGACAAGAAGGUUGCAUUUGCUUUUUGAAAAUGGAAUGGUAAAGAAUGAAAUGAAGGUAAGUAAUGAUAUUCAUCGCAAUGCUAGCAGAGUAGAUUUGUACCCAUGCUGUCUAACAGUGGAUACAAUGACCCAGCUUACUUCGGAGAAGGAACCAAGCUUACCGUAUUAGAAGAAAAUUAUAUCAUAUCAGAGCCCAAAGUGAAAAUUCUCCCACCAUCCAAAAAGGAGAUCAAGACGAAGAAUCGUGCCACCCUGGUUUGUGUGGCCACCGACUUCUAUCCUGAUCAUGUCUCGAUCGCCUGGAAGAUCAAAAGCCGCGAUGAGACCCCCCGCGAUGAGACCCCCCGUUCCAAGACGGAUGAGUCUGCAAUACGGUCAGACAAGUCCGGCAACUACAGCAUCACCAGUCGACUGAGGGUCAGAGCGGAAGAGUGGCAAAACACCCGGAAUAAAUUCUAUUGUUCAGUCAGCUUCUUCGAUGGAAACAAAACCAUAUACGUUAAUGCCACCAUCCAAGGGACCCUGUAUUGUGGCACUACAGCAGAGGAAAAUAAGUGGAGUGGAAAUGCAGCAGAGUUAUCGUAUAUUCUUGUCCUGGUGAAAAGUGCUCUGUUUGCGUUAUUUCUGGCAACCUUUGUAUGGAAAUUGAAGGGUUCCUCAGCAGCAAAGUUUCUUGACUGACAACAGACUGACAAGAAGAAACAUCAGAAGAAUCCUUUGAAAAAGAAACUAUAUAUGUGUGGUUUAUGUGUUUAUGAUAAGUAUAAUGUUAUUAUCAGGUGUUGCCUGUCAUCAUCUCUUAAGUAUCCAAGUUGUGUGUCAGGUUUUUCUUAAUUAUCCAAAAUGAGUUACAUUCAACAAUUGUAGAUUCCUACAGCUGUCAAAAAUGUUGACCAUCUGCAUAGUAUGUUUACUUCACAGGAUGUCAUGUGACCAAAGUUCUACUUUGGAACCCUUGUUCUCUGUAACAAUUCACUGAAUAUGAUUAUGGAGGGGGCAUGAUAAAGUAAUAUAAUAUAAAUGUAAAUGGAUGAAUAAUGGCUGUGAAAACUGAAUAUAAUAACUGAACAUAUAUUUCUAUAAAUGACCAAUAAUAUUGUCUGGCAGACAUCUAUAAUCAUUAAAGCUUCUGUUUUCAGUUUAGUGAAUAGUAGCGUGGUUUGUAAAAAUUUGAAAAGUGUAUGCAAAAGAGGAUAUUCGUGUCAUAUUUUGUUUGUUCUCCUGUUAAAAUGUAAUAUUAUGUUUUAUUAGCAAUUUACUAUAAUCCUAUAAUCCUUCUCCCGUACAAGCCGUACAAGAAUUUUAUACCAUAAACCAUGUAUUCCUAUGUUUAAUUAAAAUAUUUAGCUGGUAAACUGAA
Non-coding RNA from Anguilla anguilla (European eel), 1532 nucleotides. The record is from the annotation of a RefSeq genome assembly. Lineage: Eukaryota; Metazoa; Chordata; Actinopteri; Anguilliformes; Anguillidae.